RNAcentral lists this long non-coding RNA (1101 nucleotides) under Equus asinus (donkey). RNAcentral describes it as "lncRNA (ENSEASG00005028616.1)". The record is from RNAcentral. Lineage: Eukaryota; Metazoa; Chordata; Mammalia; Perissodactyla; Equidae.
UGGGCCGGCCUGAGAAAUAAAAUUUAGAAUAAUGAAAUCAUCCUGGAAACCAGACUGUGGAAAAAGCAUUUUAUUUUGUUUUGUUUUGUUCUCCACGUGAAAAUAAGGCUCAGAGAACACCCACCCCACCCGCUCUCAGUGCUGCCCCUCAUCAGCCUGUGCCCGGUGCUCAGGGUGGGAGAGCUCCCACAGGCUCCCUCUCCCUCCGGAGACCUUUCAAGCACUGCGCCCUCCCUGCCUGACUUAAGCAGCUGGGAAAAAAGAUGUGAGGCUGCUGGCCUUAGUUCCUCGCCUCACUUGCAUGGAGUGGACUCCUCUCUGGGCUGGCCAUGUCUACAAGGGUCUAAACAGAGGGAAGAAGGAGGGUGGCUAGCCUCUUGGAGGACAGGCAGAAGCAGCUGACACAGAAGCCAUCUGGAGAGGUUUUCAGAGCUUUUAUUUGGAAACUUAGGGACAACGCCAGGUCUUCCGUGAAUUCCCAGGAGUUGACAGCAGCCAUGGGGGCAGGGUCUGUUUUGCCCUGCUUUCCACCAGGCGCCAGAGUGGAUCUGAAACAGACAGUGACCGAUCGAUGGUCCUUCUGAGGCAGCAGCUCACCGACCCCAGCCGGCGGCGAGGAACAAAGUGCUCGCAGUUGGGAAAGAACGGGUUCCAAGGACCUCGUGGGAGCCAGGGGAGAGCGCUGUAUCUGGUUGUUGGAAGGAGGCUGGAGCUGCUUGGAGUUGCACUCUAGCCCCUGCAGGCACCUGGGAACAAUUCCGUGCCAUUCCCACCACCUGCGCCCGGGCCUCGGGACAGUCACCAUCCCAUCACUCCCUAGGAACUGUGGGGCUCCCCAGUUCUCCAGUAGACACCAUCUCACUCUGUCUUCAGUCUAGACUAGGAGGGAGGCAUUGGUUUCCAUGACUUCAAAGGGUGGGUGUUAUGCUGCCUAGAGCAGGACCUGCCCAAGGCCUCAGAGCUGCUUGGUAAAUUCAAAUCCAGGACUUGUUCAAGUGCCUUAGUGUUCUUGGGUUAGAGCAGGAAGCUGAAUGCCUUGAGUGAAGCUUGUUCAAGAUGAGGCUCCAGAAAAGUCUCUGGGAACCACCCCUCCUCCCAGCU